This 468-nucleotide ribosomal RNA is filed under the name uncultured bacterium. Its description in RNAcentral is "partial 16S ribosomal RNA". It matches the Rfam family "Bacterial small subunit ribosomal RNA", at positions 28 to 507 of the family's 1533-position model. The record is from RNAcentral.
GACGAACGCUGGCGGCGUGCUUAACACAUGCAAGUCGAACGGAAAGGCCCUGCUUGUGUGGGGUGCUCGAGUGGCGAACGGGUGAGUAACACGGGAGUAACCUGCCCUUGACUGUGGGAUAACUUCAGGAAACUGGGGCUAAUACCGGAUAGGAGCUCCUGCUGCAUGGUGGGGGUUGGAAAGUUUCGGCGGUUGGGGAUGGACUCGCGGCUUAUCAGCUUGUGGGUGGGGUAGUGGCUUACCAAGGCUUUGACGGGUAGCCGGCCUGAGAGGGUGACCGGCCACAUUGGGACUGAGAUACGGCCCAGACUCCUACGGGAGGCAGCAGUGGGGAAUAUUGCACAAUGGGCGGAAGCCUGAUGCAGCAACGCCGCGUGCGGGAUGACGGCCUUCGGGUUGUAAACCGCUUUCGCCUGUGACGAAGCGUGAGUGACGGUAAUGGGUAAAGAAGCACCGGCUAACUACGUG